Molecule: transfer RNA, 72 nt
Filed under: Rickettsiales bacterium
Lineage: Bacteria; Pseudomonadati; Pseudomonadota; Alphaproteobacteria; Rickettsiales
Description: tRNA-Trp
Rfam family: tRNA
About the family: Transfer RNA (tRNA) molecules are approximately 80 nucleotides in length. Their secondary structure includes four short double-helical elements and three loops (D, anti-codon, and T loops). Further hydrogen bonds mediate the characteristic L-shaped molecular structure. tRNAs have two regions of fundamental functional importance: the anti-codon, which is responsible for specific mRNA codon recognition, and the 3' end, to which the tRNAs corresponding amino acid is attached (by aminoacyl-tRNA synthetases). tRNAs cope with the degeneracy of the genetic code in two manners: having more than one tRNA (with a specific anti-codon) for a particular amino acid; and 'wobble' base-pairing, i.e. permitting non-standard base-pairing at the 3rd anti-codon position.
Source: RNAcentral
AGAGGAAUAGUUUAAUUGGUAAAACAAUGGUCUCCAAAAUCAUCGAUACGGGUUCAAGUCCCGUUUCUUCUG